Panthera uncia (snow leopard) is the source of this 1071-nucleotide long non-coding RNA. RefSeq lists it as uncharacterized. The transcript is spliced from 5 exons. The record is from RefSeq and is a predicted model, not a curated record. NCBI's taxonomy places the organism in Eukaryota, Metazoa, Chordata, Mammalia, Carnivora, Felidae.
CCUUCUUAGGCUGGUUAGAUGGUUAGGAGUUGAAGAGUGGACCCCUGUCCACAUGGUUGAAGUCAUUUAGGUGUCAGAGAGAGAAGACCAUCUACAACUGAGAGGCUGCAUUCAGGAAAACUUCAUCUCUCACGAUGUGAAGAGCAAGAUGAAAAAAGACAAUGUCUGUGAAGAUCUCCAUGGCUGAUGAAUGAAUGCCAAUGUGAGAGAGAAGCAGAUCUGUUUCCACAAUGUACUGGAUGGAGGCAAAUCCUGAGCCCAGACAGUCAACUAUGUGAAUAUGGUGGAGCGAUCUGCUCUGUGAACAUAGGGAUCUUGUCAGUCUUAUCCAUCCCCAUAUCAUCAACAGCUCUCACGAUACUGAAAAGGGGCCAAAUACUGGUGUUUUGACAUUCCAUCCCAUUAAAAGGAAGAAGAAGGAAAAAGAACAAAGAGAAAACUCCAAUCUGCCUGCAUGGAGUGUGCUUCCUCUUGUUCAGAUGCCGUGUUUACGUUGAGAUGCCCACAGCUGGGAUGUGGUCCCAGCCUACAGACACAAUCCUGGCUUCUUGCAUCAGCCCCCCCCCCCACGGUCCCCAGCCUCCAGGGACAUUACUAAGGAAGCCUGCUCCCAAACAAGGACCCGCAGGUGGAUUCAUGGAGCGCAGGACUAGGAUUCAAGUGCAAGUGACUUCUUUGGAGAUGAUCCCGGCGCACACCAGGAGGGGAAUGAGGAAUUGAGACGAGGCAGAAGGACGAUCAAUGAACGAUGUGUCAUCAAGCCAGCGGGCAGUUGGGGAACUCCAGAAGCCACUGCAGAACAAGCACCACGGAGUUAUGCCACCGAGGAAAAGGAAGCAGAUUCAGAAGGUCGGUGGUGAUGCUGCAUUGGGUCACGUGCCCAGGUCAUUCGCCUCACUGCAUCUUGUCACCUAGGCAUUUCAUUGUCUCACAUCACGGCAAGACACAGAAAGGUGAGUGCAGUGAAAGAGGAUAUUUUGAGAUAGAGAGAGAGAGAGAGAGACCACAUUCCCAUCACUUUUAUGACGGUAAAUUGUUAGAAUUAUCCUACCUUAUAAUUAGCUAUUGUUG